CACGUAAUUCAUUACGAAGUUUAAUUCUUUGAGCAUCAAACUUUUAAAUUGAAGAGUUUGAUCAUGGCUCAGAUUGAACGCUGGCGGCAGGCCUAACACAUGCAAGUCGAACGGUAACAGGAAGCAGCUUGCUGCUUCGCUGACGAGUGGCGGACGGGUGAGUAAUGUCUGGGAAACUGCCUGAUGGAGGGGGAUAACUACUGGAAACGGUGGCUAAUACCGCAUAACGUCGCAAGACCAAAGAGGGGGACCUUCGGGCCUCUUGCCAUCAGAUGUGCCCAGAUGGGAUUAGCUAGUUGGUGAGGUAACGGCUCACCAAGGCGACGAUCCCUAGCUGGUCUGAGAGGAUGACCAGCCACACUGGAACUGAGACACGGUCCAGACUCCUACGGGAGGCAGCAGUGGGGAAUAUUGCACAAUGGGCGCAAGCCUGAUGCAGCCAUGCCGCGUGUAUGAAGAAGGCCUUCGGGUUGUAAAGUACUUUCAGCGGGGAGGAAGGUGUUGUGGUUAAUAACCGCAGCAAUUGACGUUACCCGCAGAAGAAGCACCGGCUAACUCCGUGCCAGCAGCCGCGGUAAUACGGAGGGUGCAAGCGUUAAUCGGAAUUACUGGGCGUAAAGCGCACGCAGGCGGUCUGUCAAGUCGGAUGUGAAAUCCCCGGGCUCAACCUGGGAACUGCAUUCGAAACUGGCAGGCUUGAGUCUUGUAGAGGGGGGUAGAAUUCCAGGUGUAGCGGUGAAAUGCGUAGAGAUCUGGAGGAAUACCGGUGGCGAAGGCGGCCCCCUGGACAAAGACUGACG
Molecule: ribosomal RNA, 800 nt
Filed under: Salmonella enterica subsp. enterica serovar Typhimurium
Lineage: Bacteria; Pseudomonadati; Pseudomonadota; Gammaproteobacteria; Enterobacterales; Enterobacteriaceae
Description: bacterial SSU rRNA
Rfam family: Bacterial small subunit ribosomal RNA
Source: RNAcentral